This 1312-nucleotide ribosomal RNA is filed under the name Heterokeronopsis pulchra. RNAcentral's name for it is "eukaryotic LSU rRNA". It matches the Rfam family "Eukaryotic large subunit ribosomal RNA", at positions 1 to 1303 of the family's 3401-position model. The record is from RNAcentral. Lineage: Eukaryota; Ciliophora; Spirotrichea; Urostylida; Pseudokeronopsidae.
CGUAUCUGAAAUCAAGCAGGAGAACCCGCUGAACUUAAGCAUAUCACUAAGCGGAGGAAAAGAAAUUAACUAAGAUUGCCUCAGUAACGGCGAGUGAAGCGGCAAAAGCCCAGACUGGAAAUCCUCGUGCUGUGCACGAUGAAUUGUAAUCUAGAGAGUAGAAGCUCACCAGGAAUCGACGCAGAAGUGCCUUCGAACGGGCCGCCAAAGAGGGUGACAGCCCCGUAUGUGGUGUCGGUACCCAACGAGCUCUGCCUGAAGAGUCGGGUUGUUUGGAAUUGCAGCCCUAAGUGGGAGAUAGACUUCUUCCAAGGCUAAAUAUAUAUGGGAAACCGAUAGCGAACAAGUACUGUGAAGGAAAGAUGAAAAGAACUUUGAAAAGAGAGUCAAAAGACUUGAAAUCGUUGAGAAGGAAGCGGUAGAAAAUUAUUCUCUGUUGGCAGCAAAGUGUUCCACUCGAGUAUUGGCACGGUUUGGUACGUCAAAGGCCGGCUGUGUCACGUGCUUGAUGGAUUGCGGAGCUCCCAGCAGUGAGGCAGAAUGAGGUGCUGUAUCCACAAAGGCUUGUUGGUCUUGGGGGCCUUCGGGAACCAGGCCAGCUUUGUCGGUGGGCACAGCGCCUGAGGAAGCUUUGUGCGAUUCUGCCAAAAUGGUUUUUACCGACCCGUCUUGAAACACGGACCAAGGAGUCUAACAUAUAUGCGAGUGUGCUGGUGGAGAAACCAACACGCGGAAUGAAAGUAAGAGAUGCCAAGCGCAAGCGGCAGCAUCAACCGACCAUGAUCCUCUGGUGAAAGGUUCGAGUAUGAGCAUAUCUGUUAGGACCCGAAAGAUGGUGAACUAUGCCUGAGUAGGGUGAAGCCAGGGGAAACUCUGGUGGAGGCUCGUAGCGUUUCUGACGUGCAAAUCGAUCGUCAAACUUGGGUAUAGGGGCGAAAGACUAAUCGAACCAUCUAGUAGCUGGUUCCCUCCGAAGUUUCCCUCAGGAUAGCUGGGACAAGAACGCAGUUUUAUUAGGUAAAGCGAAUGAUUAGAGGUAUCUGGGGCAUCUUGCCCUGGACCUAUUCUCAAACUUUAAAUUGGUAAGAACCUGUGCCUUCCUUAAUUGAGGCAUAGGGGUCAAUGCGUGUCCCUAGUGGGCCAUUUUUGGUAAGCAGAACUGGCGAUGAGGGUUGCUCCUAACGUUGAGUUAAGGUGCCUAAAUGCAUGCUCAUCAGAAACUACAAAGGGUGUUGGUUCAUUAAGACAGCAGGACGGUGGCCAUGGAAGUCGGAACCCGCCAAGGAGUGUGUAACAACUCACCUGCCGAAUG